This is a long non-coding RNA of Panicum virgatum (switchgrass), 297 nucleotides long. RefSeq lists it as uncharacterized. Lineage: Eukaryota; Viridiplantae; Streptophyta; Magnoliopsida; Poales; Poaceae. The record is from RefSeq and is a predicted model, not a curated record. The transcript is spliced from 2 exons.
AGCAUUGCCUUAUUUGGAUUAUCACGGCUACCUACCAUAUGGAGCUCCACAGUUGCAACAUCACCCACCUACGUACGUGUAUUUGCCACCAACAGACGAGCCGUAUGAGGGACCACCGGGAGAGAGAUUUGAGGACUGAAGAAUGCAGAGAAUAUGCUACAUGGAUUAUUCUGGACUAUGCCUUUGCCUCUUUUGUAUCUUUGGAUUGUAAUAAUUCUAAUGGACUUUGGAUGUAUUGCGUUCUAUGUGUGGACUUUGGACAUGAGUUAUGUGUAAUAAUUGUAAUGGACUUUGGAU